This 431-nucleotide ribosomal RNA is filed under the name uncultured bacterium. Its description in RNAcentral is "partial 16S ribosomal RNA". It matches the Rfam family "Bacterial small subunit ribosomal RNA", at positions 29 to 507 of the family's 1533-position model. The record is from RNAcentral.
AACGAACGCUGGCGGCAGGCCUAACACAUGCAAGUCGAGCGCCCCGCCAGGGGAGCGGCGGACGGGUGAGUAACGCGUGGGAAUAUGCCCUUUGCUACGGAAUAGUCUCGGGAAACUGGGGGUAAUACCGUAUACGCCCUUUGGGGGAAAGAUUUAUCGGCGAAGGAUUAGCCCGCGUUGGAUUAGGUAGUUGGUGGGGUAAUGGCCUACCAAGCCGACGAUCCAUAGCUGGUUUGAGAGGAUGAUCAGCCACACUGGGACUGAGACACGGCCCAGACUCCUACGGGAAGCAGCAGUGGGGAAUCUUAGACAAUGGGGGCAACCCUGAUCUAGCCAUGCCGCGUGAGUGAUGAAGGCCUUAGGGUUGUAAAGCUCUUUCAGCUGGGAAGAUAAUGACGGUACCAGCAGAAGAAGCCCCGGCUAACUCCGUG